This 1664-nucleotide unclassified non-coding RNA is filed under the name Hevea brasiliensis (rubber tree). The record is from RNAcentral. Lineage: Eukaryota; Viridiplantae; Streptophyta; Magnoliopsida; Malpighiales; Euphorbiaceae.
GGAACCUCCAUAACAGAAUGUAUGACAUCUUUUUCAGUAGGGUUUUUCUGCUUGCAACUAGGUGAUUUCUGCGUUCUAUUAUCUGCUGAAAUUGAAAAUUCGCUCGAUUCAGCUUGUUCCGAAAAUAGGUGAGUUUCUUCUUUCACUACCUGAAUUCCAAUACCCAUGUUGUAUUUUCUCUGUAAAACUAUUCUCCAUAGGAGAAAUGGAUACUCAAUUACAGCUCAAAACCCAUCAAUACCAUUAUCAUCAUUCCUUAGAUACUUGUCUAGCGAUGCAAAUCAACUCUCGUUUACUGUUUCUUACCUCAUAAACACAUGUGGGUUGUCCCCGGAAUCCGCUUUGUCGACUUCUAAAUAUUGUCGACUUAAGACUCCAGAGAAGUCUGACUUAGUCCUAUCCAUUUUCAAGAACCUUGGAUUUAAAAAACACCAGAUCUCUUACAUUAUCGUAAGGUGGCCACUUAUGCUGUUAUCCAAACCCGAGAGAACUAUUAUCCCAAAAUUUGAGUUUUUUCGCUCUAAAGGUGCUUCAAACUCUGAUCUUGUAAGAAUCUUCGGUUGCUGCCCUUGGGUCUUUAAAAGGAGUUUAGAAAAGCACUUGGUUCCUUCUUUUAAUUUCUUUAGAGAUUUGCUCAAAUCUGACGAGAAAACCCUUGCAGCCAUUAAACGUUGUCCUUCUAUUUUGCUUCGUCGUCUUGAAGAUCAGGUGAUACCUGCUAUCGAUAUUUUGCGAGAAAACGGAGUGCCUGAAGCAAAUAUUUUGCACUUGAUUCAUUAUCACCCUUUGAAGCUUCAAACGAAUCCGGAUAAAUUUAAGAAGGCUGUGGAUGAAGUGAGAGAGAUGGGAUUCCGUCCUUCGAAGUUGCAUUUUGUUAUAGCAGUCAUGGUAUUGGCAGGAUUGAGAAAAUCCAAAUGGGAAAGUAAGGUUGAUGCUUAUAAGAGGUGGGGUUGGUCUAACGAAGAUGUUAUUACAGCUUUUGGAAAAUAUCCACUUUGUAUGACAAUUUCGGAGGAUAAGAUUAUGGCAGUAAUGGAUUUCUAUGUUAACAAAUUGGGUUUAGACUCUUCUGUCAUUGCCAAUCGACCGGUGCUGCUUUCACUAAGUUUGAAGAAAAGGCUUGUUCCAAGAGGUUCACUUAUUCAAUUUAUGUCAUCAAAAGGUUUGGUUAAAAUAGAUUCUCAUAUUACUGUACUUUGUGAGCGUCCAGAGAAAUUUUUUAUGGAAAAGUUCGUGAAUCGUUACAAGGAAGCUCCUCAGUUGUUGAAACUAUACAAUGAGUUGAAACAGCAAGGUGAGCAACAACAAGAAAUAAAGAGAUGAAGCUGCUUUUUAACUGAUUUGAUGUGCAUAAUUCAUCAUAGUUAAGGACUUACAUCGGCUCCACUUGCAGGUUACAGUGUAACUAAUUCAAGUUUUGAAAUGUAAUUGCAACUUUGCUUUCGUUUUUUAUGUUGUUCUGGAGUGAAAAUUCAAGAGGCCUUAACUUCUUAAUAAAGUGCCAUAACUUCUUAGCAAAGUAAACCAGAUCUUUUGUUCAAUAGCAGUAUGACUGGCAUAUGCAAUAGGUUCUGUUCUUGCUAACUUGGUUAGUUUUGGUUCAUUUUUUAAGUCCAUUUUGCUUUCUUGGUGUUAUUGUUUUUGUCUUUUUAUUAUAAUAUCCA